Molecule: ribosomal RNA, 105 nt
Filed under: Podosphaera xanthii
Lineage: Eukaryota; Fungi; Ascomycota; Leotiomycetes; Helotiales; Erysiphaceae
Description: partial 28S ribosomal RNA
Rfam family: Eukaryotic large subunit ribosomal RNA
Source: RNAcentral
AUGACCUCGGAUCAGGUAGGGAUACCCAGGGGCCUUAAGCGAGAAAUAGCGGAGGAAAAGAAACCAACAGGGAUUACCUCAGUAACGGCGAGUGAAGCGGCACGU